UACGGGGGGGGCAAGCGUUAUUCGUCAUGACUGGGCGUAAAGGGUUUGUAGGUGGAUAAAUUUAUUUUUUUGAUAAAGAAAUGUGGAAACAUUUAGCCCAAAAUUAUAUAAUUAUUUCUAGAGUUUAAUAGAAGAUAAAGGUACUCUUGGAGGAAAGGUGAAAUUUUAUAAUACCGAUGGGGACAACCGAGUGGCGAAGGCAUUUUUCUAUAUUAAACUGACAUUGAGGGACGAAGGUAUAGGGUUCGAACGGG
Molecule: ribosomal RNA, 254 nt
Filed under: uncultured bacterium
Lineage: Bacteria
Description: partial 16S ribosomal RNA
Rfam family: Bacterial small subunit ribosomal RNA
Source: RNAcentral